UACGGAGGGGGCGAGCGUUAUUCGGAAUUAUUGGGCGUAAAGGGCGCGUAGGUGGCUUGGUAAGUCAAAGGUGAAAUCCCUCGGCUCAACUGAGGAAUUGCCUUUGAAACUGCCUGGCUUGAGGCCGGGAGGGGGUAGCGGAAUUCCCAGUGUAGCGGUGAAAUGCGUAGAUACUGGGAGGAACACCGGUGGCGAAGGCGGCUACCUGGACCGGUUCUGACACUGAUGCGCGAAAGCGUGGGGAGCAAACAGG
Molecule: ribosomal RNA, 253 nt
Filed under: uncultured bacterium
Lineage: Bacteria
Description: partial 16S ribosomal RNA
Rfam family: Bacterial small subunit ribosomal RNA
Source: RNAcentral